CUGGCUCAGGAUGAACGCUAGCGAUAGGCUUAACACAUGCAAGUCG
RNAcentral lists this ribosomal RNA (46 nucleotides) under Porphyromonas cangingivalis. RNAcentral's name for it is "16S rRNA. Bacterial SSU". The record is from RNAcentral. Lineage: Bacteria; Pseudomonadati; Bacteroidota; Bacteroidia; Bacteroidales; Porphyromonadaceae.